This 230-nucleotide ribosomal RNA is filed under the name uncultured bacterium. Its description in RNAcentral is "partial 16S ribosomal RNA". It matches the Rfam family "Bacterial small subunit ribosomal RNA", at positions 111 to 334 of the family's 1533-position model. The record is from RNAcentral.
UAACACGUAGGUAACCUGCCCAUGUGUCCGGGAUAACUGCUGGAAACGGUAGCUAAAACCGGAUAGGUAUACAGAGCGCAUGCUCAGUAUAUUAAAGCGCCCUUCAAGGCGUGAACAUGGAUGGACCUGCGGCGCAUUAGCUAGUUGGUGAGGUAACGGCCCACCAAGGCGAUGAUGUGUAGCCGGCCUGAGAGGGUAAACGGCCACAUUGGGACUGAGACACGGCCCAA